RNAcentral lists this long non-coding RNA (16591 nucleotides) under Oryza sativa (Asian cultivated rice). Its description in RNAcentral is "long non-coding RNA (OSAT_LNC001412)". The stretch from base 5464 to 5666 matches the Rfam family "MIR812 microRNA precursor family". Lineage: Eukaryota; Viridiplantae; Streptophyta; Magnoliopsida; Poales; Poaceae. The record is from RNAcentral.
CCUAGCGGACAGGGCAAAAGAACUGAUGGGUCGUCAGUGGCUGCAAGGCAUCAACAGUGCCAACUGAAAAAAAAUAAAAUGAUUUUGCAUAUAUACAGUCAGAAUACCUUGCAUAUUGUUAGUGCAGGGUAGACAAAGUGAUUCUGCAUUUACAGUCAGAAGACAACGCAUGUUGCUAGAAAGAACAUAUAUUUACCUUUAAGAUGAGCAAAGGGUAUUGUAUCUGUACCUCAUUAAUCUUGCACUGUAAUCUGUGUGCUAUUGAUGAUUUAUCCAAUUAUCAUUUGUUGGAGUGGCCAUAUUGCAACUCCUAUCCCACGUUCUAGCGUGUUCAAGUUUUGGCACUGCUUAUUUCCAUAAAAUCUGUGGUUUAUUCGACACCAGAAAAUUGGGUUUUCUAACCUAGUGAUUAACCCCAUUCAACACAAGUUACUAUGGCUGAGAAAUUCAGACCAUGACAAUGCCCAACUUAUGGAGUACAAUGCUCCACUUUCUUGUUCUGUGCACAAAGCAACAAUGUUGAUUAAUGUGAGCUCGACUCCUAUUUAAGUCAUGCGCCCAUGUCAAUGCAGUAUGAUGCCAAUAUCAAUGUGCCCCGGUGCCUGAUUUUCGUGGAGCACAGGGUUCUCAGAUUCACAUAUACGUCUCUCAUAUUGAGACCAAAACUACGGUGCAUUGAGUUUCUGCAACCCGGUUAACUACUAUAAUAAACUAGUAAUCGAACAACACUCCCCAAGUUUCCACAUCCCUAAGCACAACAGUCGAUUCCAGCAUAAACAUGAUUCUCUCUAUUUUCUUCAACGCAAAUAUAACCAUGAUUAGAACUCAACCGAAUUACCAAAGCAACGAGAAAUUAAAAAAAAAAUCAGUUUCAUUGCCAAGCGAAGAGGAUCCUAUUUGGAAUUCGGAAAAAAGGGGGGAGGGGAGCAACCGUUGGGGAAUGGCAUGGAUGGUUCCCUCUCCCUCGCCGCGUCGGCUUCCCCUGGCCCGCCGCCCAGCCGGCACCGUCGCGACGAGCUGGUCGCCUCGCCUCGCCGCGCCGCCGCCGCCCGUCGCUCUUGUUAUUAGUCGGUGGAGGCAGCCCGCAGGCAGAGGCAUUUGCCCGGACCGUACGAAGUAGACAGAGGUAAGUGCCAGGCCAUGGGCCUUGGCUAGUGUACAUAGUAGAUGGGCCUACCAGGUAAUUGGGCCGGUUCCGAACAAUGGAAAUAGGGAUUAUCUAAACUUCCAUACACCACAUUUUUUUAAAAAAAAAAAGCCUUCCAAAUGUAACUAUAUUUGUAAUAUAAUUCUACCAUAACUAUUCUACUAGUAACAUGCCCGUGCUAAACGCUACGGUGCAAUUCUAUUUUGUGUUAAAUAUUUUCUAAAAUUUCAUGUUAGCAAAAAAUAUUUUUAUAUGAUCCGUGUAUUUAAACUUUAAUUCAAUUCAUAUCGCGCAUCAAAUAUAUUUAAUAUAUAGUACAACAAUAUGAUAUUGCGUAGGCACAAUAAAACUUUACGAGUCAUUCACGCAUAUAUUUGGUCCUAUGUUCUAUAUUUUUUUUACUAUGCUCGAUAUUUCAGACCGAUUGUCUUGGUACACUAUCUUCAACCAAGUUUGACCGAUUUAUUUUAGUCAACUGCGAAUGGUUGGAUGGUACACUAUCUUCAACCAAGUUUGACUCAACCUUUCGCUUUGCGCGUCAUUCAUGUUGUUUUCUAUUUUUUUUUCUUUGGCUAACAAUUCAGCUUGAGAAAGUGAUUUUUGGCGUUGUAAAUACAAAAGGACUAAUAACUUGGUUGGACACGGCCUUUUUCCUUGUGUGGUAUUCAUGUUAUUUUGCAUUAUUUUCAUCCUUCCUACGUUGCACCUCAGAAAGUGUACAUUGAGAUAGGUAGCUGUGAUUAUUGCAAAACCAAACAGACAAGAGUAAUGCUCCGGUGCAAUCUACUUGCAGUAUUCUACUCCAAGUAGAAUUAAUCUUGACCGUUUAUUUUGAAGGGCGGGUAAGUAAUCUCCUAAUAUCGUUUAGGGGUAAUUUUGGCAUGGGAUGUUUUCUUCGGUUCGCAUCGCAUUAGGUCCGGACUCCAUCACACGCAGUCACCUCGCUAUUCCUCCCCCGGCCUCGCCGCCUUGUCCGCCCCCACCGUCGCCGUCCGUAUCUCCCGCCGUCGCCGCCUUGUCCGCCUCCUCAGUCGCAUCGUCCAUAUGGGAGCGGACGAGUGUGGCGGCGUCCGAGCGAGGAUCUUGAGCAGGAGUUCUGGCGGUAGUAAAAAUUCCGACGUGGGCUUCGGCGGCGGCGGCGUCACGCAUGCACGCAACGUCAUUUGCGUGGCGGCAUCGUCUCGGCUCAUUCGUCUUCUUGCCGUUCCGAUCACUGCGUUGUUUCAUGGAUUAUAUGGAUCAAUUAAGAUCUUGCACGACCAACUCCGACGAGGAUGACAUGGUGUUCGAUCUAUGGAUUGUAAAAUGAUAAUACCCCUACGCGAAUUAUUUUUCCUAGACGAAAACACCCCUCCACAUUUCUACUUCCACUAAUUCUGGUGGGAGUAGAACUAGAUCUUAACCCUAUAAUUAAAUAUGAUCGAGGGUCCAGAUUACUUUCUACUCCGAGUAGAAAGCACCGGAGUGGGACUGAACAGACAAUGCAUGUAGCUCAUAAACAUCACGGGUGUAUGUAGAACUGACCAACAAAGUAUAAAAUAUCCGACGUGUUACAACACCGGAAGAAACAUUUGUUAUAUCUUUGAAGGCAAUGUGCCCCCAUUUGGAUCCAUUCUUAACAGAUACUCCCUCCCGUUUCAUAAUGUAAAUCAUUCUAGCAUUACCCACAUUCAUAUAAGUGUUAAUGAAUCUAGACAUAUAUAUAUAUAUAUAUAUAUAUAUAUAUAUAUAUAUAUAUAUAUAUAUAUUUAUUAACAUCUAUAUUUAGCAAUGUUAAAAUGACUUACAUUAUGAAACGGAAGAAGUAUAAUAUAAACAAACUGAGUAGACAAUAACAAGCUGAUUGGUUCACUCCGUCAAAGCCAAUAACAAAGCACAAUAUAAUAUAUAACAUUCUUAUCGGUUUACUCUUUCAAUCAACAGAAGCCUCUUGUGUACAAAGCAUAAUAUUACAACGUAUUAGAACCUCCGUGUUUGCUGAGACGACACAGUAGUAGGGGAUGUGCAACGAGGACAACAUCUGAAUCUGUACAAAGGUUGUUCCCCUGAACAGGGUAAAAAUUAUUAACAAUAUCAUUUGCAAAAGGAAGUAAUAUGGAUUAAAUGUAGCUAAUACAAUUCUAAUCAAUAUGAAAUUAAAAUUGAGUAAAAAGUAACUCCACAUGCUAUAUCUACCCAUCAACUACCCCACAUACUAAAUUAAACAGCAAGUAAAUAUUCAUUUUUUUCAUUAUAGCUAUAUUUCAAUCACUUUUGCACAGAUGCUUAACAGCCAUUCCUAAUAUAAUAUUAUAAUGAUUCAUUAUUCUGUUUUCGUGAUCCCGUACAACGCAGCUGUUCCUUAAUUAGGAAGCGUCGUCAAGUUGAUCCAAUGAAAAAAAAAACUAAACGAUCAGGUCUGAUAAACAAUCAGAUGAUGGCGAUGACAGACUACGAUUUGCAAGGAAAACAAAAUUGCAAACAUGGCUAGAAAGCUGCUCACCGGGGUGGAACUCAUGACCGCACUGCAACCUUGCCGUAGGCCACCAUGUCGAGGCAGAUCAAGCAAAUUUUGAUGAAGUUAAAAAUGUAUAUAGUGGGAGGGAGGAAAAUUAAACCGCAAUGACAGUAACAAAUUGAGUACAUCUUGAAAACCCACUCAGAAAAAUUAGGAACUGAUAUCGUCAAAUUAAAAAAAAUAGAACCUAGCAAAAAUUUCUUGAGUGGAUGUUGACGUUGACUGCAAUUCAUGCCUCACCAAAUAAGCAUUACAACAGUAUAUAUACCCUAUAAUACUCUUAUCUCAGCUGCGUAAAUCAAUUUAUCAUGGCAGUGAAAAAUAGAAGAAUAUUUGACUCAUAGAACUCAAAUAAUGGUGGGCCCUCGUAAGCUAAAAAUACCGUAACCUAAUUUAGUUCUAUCUCACCUUUAUCUGUUUACAAGACGCUCAUUUCAACUUGUUAUCCUAGUAAUUAAUUUCAGAAAGCAGGACACUAUCUAUCACAUCCAUUCCCUGAGUUUCAACUGUAUUGCCACUAAUUUAGCCCCUAAUUGCCAGUUACCAUGAAGAAUUCAAGACCAUUGUUUCAUGACUUGAGCUCCAGGAAAGAUGGAAAUAAUCUUUUUUAGAGAUUCAAGAAGAAGGGAACACCUGCUGGUCUUGAAUUGAUAAUCCUAAAAGGUGUUAUCUAAUUACAUUACAUCAUCAGACAAAAAAAACAAAAUCAGAAACAACGGAAUCUGCUAUCCCAAGUUCCCAACUGACAUGCAAUCUGUUAUGCUGCCAUCAUGAUUAUCUGCAACAAGCCAACAAGGCUGCAACAUCUCUAUACACAAUAUUCUUAGUUGGUCAGUCAUGCUUUGCAUUAAGCUAAUCUGCAGACUGCGGAUCCACCAUACUAAUGUAAGUUAUGAAGUUAUAGAGUUAGUUACUGUUGAAUUCCUCUUCCAAAUAACAAAUCAAGCAAGGCACAAAAGCAACUUUUCUUUCUAGUCCUGCACAAGAGACUAUUUAAAACUGAAGUAUUGAACUAAAAAACCCUUCAUGUAGCAGUAUUUCUCCGAAAUCAUUGACACCUUUAAGAACAUUAUUAUAAUUGUCAUCAAAGCAUAUUCUCCAUUUUGUAUAGCUAGUUCCUAAAACAAUCCCUACUUCCUGUGUAAGAAUAAUGCACUGUCACAAGCAUAUACAAGGUUCAACAUAGUAUCGGCAAUGUGACCGAUGCAAAUCCUACAAAGAAUAAUAUUCAAGAUAGUUGUAUUUAGGAAAAAGUACGAAUUACCCCCCUGAACUAUCACGGUCGUCCGAAUUACCCCCCUGAACCACAAAACCGGACAUUCUUCACCCCCAACUAUGCAAACCGGACGAAUUACCCGCCUCGACCCAAUCCGCGGUGGUUUUGGUCUACGUGGCGUACACGUGGCAUCCCAAUCAGCGUUUUUUAAUUAAAAAAAUGAUGGGACCCGCAUGUCAUACACUCCCACCUCUCUCUCUCUUCACUUUCCUCUCAAUCUCUCUCUCUUCCCCUCUUCCUCUCAAUCUCUCUCUCUCUGCAGGCAUGUACGGUGGCAUGCUUGCUGCGAUAGUGAUGAUGCUUUUCAUGGUUGAUCCAGUCCUUCAACACGUGACGAUCUUGCUCGAUUUAUGUGGUUUUGCCAUACUGUCAUUUGGCAACUUGCAGAUUCCUGCAGCUAUCGUGCGCGAAGAGCUCGCGAGGAUGCGCCUUACGCAACAUGACUCCUUCGGCGUUGGUGAGAAGACAAAUCUUGGCCAAUCUCUUACCAUCCUCUGCAGCAUGGUGCUUGGCCAAGGCAUAAUCCCUUCGUCCAAAAAAAAAAAAAAGACAAACACUAGAAUUUCGUGUCCAACGUUUGACUGUCCGUUUUAUAUAAUUUUUUUUAUAAGUAUUUUCAUUGUUGUUAGAUGAUAAAACAUGAUUAAUACUUUAUGCGUGACUUGUCUUUUUAAUUUUUUUCAUAUUUUUUUUAAAUAAGACGGACGGUCAAACGUUGAACACGAAAAUCCAGCGUUUGUUUUAUUUUGGGACGGAGGGAGUACUUUACAUCGUUGCCAGCACGCUGGAGGUCUUCUCGUUCAUCCAUCGGAGAUCCCUCGUUCGCCAUGGUGGAUUCACAGGGGAGUUGAAUCUGUCAAUCUGUACUAUGCCUAUGCCUUCGACAAAUACAUGGAAGGAGGUGUGUUUGCUCCAAAGAGGAUCAACCUCAGCAACUUUGCGAUAGAUUCUAUAAACUCUGACAUGUCCAAGAAUCAGCUGUACGGGAUCCGGAUGAUGCACACUUUUCUGCAAAGAGAUCCGACAAGAGCACAACUCCUGGAGAAACUCACCACUUCAACGCAGACGAAGGCCAGGUUGAUCAACAUGUUGGACUGGACUGAUGGAAACCAUCAUACAACCGUGGGAAAAAAACAAAAAGAAAAGAGAAACCGUGAGCUGCCCGCGGCGCCCUCUCCACGCGCGACACGUGUCCAGUCGCGCGCGCUUAUUAGCUUUUUCGUAUAUCAACUCCUCCAAGUAUCAAAACCGGUGCAAACAAUGUCUCUCGGUGGUUUUAGAGGUGGUUUUAAUUAGCGUGGCGCCUAUGUGACGGUCUUGACCAAGUCUUUAUCCUACGUGGUGCUUAUGUGGCAUUAGAAUAAAAACAAAAAUAAAAAAUAUGUGAGACCCAUAUGUCAUUAAAAAAAAGAAUUGUGGGACCCAUAUAUCAUCCUCUCUCUCCUUCCCUUCUUCCUCCCCCUCUCUCUCCCUUAUCUCUCUCCUCCACCCCCUGGCCCCGGCCUUUCUCUUGGCCGAGCGGCAGCGGCGACGUUCAGCAGUGGCGGAGCCAGGGCUCCUCAGCCUUUUAGACCUUAUAACAAUAUCAGACAAAGUCUAUUUUAGCCCCCUUACAAUAUAUAUAUAUAUGGGUUUAAAUUUUAGGAGGUUGUAACGGGGGCUCUAAUGGUUUAUUAAGGGUAGAGGGGUCUAAAGACCCUCCAGCCCCCACGCUGCCUCCGCCACUGACGGUUGGGACGACGGCGGUGGGGAGCGGCGGCGGCGGCGGCGGUGGCGGUGGGGAUGAGGGUGGGGAGCGGUGGCGGCGGUCCCACGAACUGGAUGAGAUCGGAAGCCUUGCUCCAUGCAAAACUGCAAAUGAAAGAAGCAGAGAAACAAACUUGCAACGACAGAAGGAAACAAAAAGCAUCCCAAAUCUGUGCAUCCACACACCCAUACAGAGGUAAAUUAAACAGAUCGAUCUGACGAACGCAAGUACAGGAGCACAGUAGUAAACGGCAUGCAUGGAGUACGCAUAGAUCUGGGGGGUGGGAAGGAGAGGAAGAAGCCGGGUGAGGUGAGCUCGCAUCGUAGUGGAAGAGGUUGUUAUCGGCGACGUUGACGAGGGAGUGGUUCGCGCGGACACCACCUCCUUCCCGGCCGCGCAGGGUGGGCGAGCCCCUUCUUCGACACCGGCGCCUCGCCAGCCGACGCGGACGCGGACGCCGUCGCUGUGGGUGGCGCUAGCGCGGUCUCCGACACGAACAGCUUCGCCACCGCCGCCGCCGCUCCCCACCGCCGUCGUCCCGACCGUCGCCGCCGCCGCUCGGCAUGCUACUCAAUUUGUUGCAACCAUGCCCUUUCGUGUUAAAUGUGGUGUUCUUUUCUUCUAAAAAGGAAGAUGAAGAUUAAUUUUUUUACGCAAAACGAGAUGGUAUUAAUGUAUGAUUGAUUAAGUUUUAAUUAUUAUAAGCUUAAAAAAUAGAUUAAUUUGAUAUUUUUGAGAAACUUUUAUAUUUAAUAAAGUUUUUUAAUCUUGUUGGAGAAAGGAACGGGACCAAAGUGAUUGGAAGUUAUGUUAGUCAAAACCGCCUUAUAAACCACGGAAGAGGCGAAAAGAAACCCUUCCGUCAGUUACGUGGUUCAGGGACGAGAAUCGAGAGUCAGACGUCUAGCAUCGGGGCCGAUGAGCAGUCGACCACAGCGCGUCGCCUCCUUCCUUAGCUGCAAGCCAUGGAAAAACGUUGUCGGCUUCACACCAUCCGAGCUUCCGGCCAUGCUUCUAUCUGCUUCCAUCCAGCGUGCUUGAAUAAUCGAGAUUAGCUCGAAAGGACACUACUCGCUACUGUGCAAGCGGCCCAUGACAGGCCGCGGUGACAACAUGGCCAAAAACAACAACGUGAAACCUCUGCAGUUGAAACAACAACGUGAAAGGUGAAACCAACCUCAAAACCUCUGCAGUUGAUAAAAAUAACAGGAAAGCUGAUACCAAAGUACCCACCGUAUCUUUUCAAUGUCAGUGGAAUCUUAGGGAGCACGCUCAAUAAGCUUCUCAAACAUGUGUGAUUUAAUUACAGGUACGUGUGAAUUACCCGAAUUUUUUAGAUGUAAGCACAUGCAAUCCAGUAAUUACAAAAAUAAGCACGCAACAACCACAUUUAGAUGUAUAGGCAAGAUGCUCACAUGAAACACGGUGCUUCCAUUGAACCACUUGACCAACAGACUAAUGGGCCGCUGAAUUAAGAACGUUAGCGCAAGAACCCACAUCACCAAUUGGUUAAAUGCAUCAUUACGGGAGCAUGCAUGGUUUAAUUGUGUUGUUUUCAUUUUACAACUUAUUGUAGCAUAUGUAUUUCUUACAUUAUUUUUUUAAAAAAGAAAACAUAUAUCUACGAUGUGAGCUAUGAGACCAAAACUAUUGCUAUUAGCUGAAGAAAAAGAAGAGGAUUAAUACUACUCCCUCCAUCUACUUUUGAUAGUCAUAUUUUCAAAUCUGAAAAAUUUAUUUUUGAUAGGCAUAUUUCAAUCCAACAACCUAUCAUCUUAAUGACUUUCUCGGAUUUAAUGCAUGACUCUUCAUUUUUCCACACAUGAUUCGCUACAUGAAAAUUGAGAAAUGUAAAUAUUAAUGUAUCGCUUGUUUACGAGAAAUGACUAGUAGCAUGUUUGAAUGGAUGAUAAGUAGAAGUACUUAUCCUUGGUCUAUAUGUCAAGAUGAAAUAUGACUAUCGAUGAUGGAGGGAGUAUUGGGCUGCUCGCACGUUAAUGCUAGAAACAAGACCGGCCGCAAAACCCCCCUUGGUUAACCCGAUAUUGACAGUGCUCAAGUACUUGUGCGAAGGUUGGUUAGAAUUAGAAUUCCAAACAAUGCGUGCUCACAUAUGUAAUUAUUGGGCUGCAUGUGUUUAGUUGAUAAAAAUAACAGGAAAGCUGAUACCAAAGUACCCACCGUAUCUUUUCAAUGUCAGUGGAAUCUUAGGGAGCACGCUCAAUAAGCUUCUCAAACAUGUGUGAUUUAAUUACAGGUACGUGUGAAUUACCCGAAUUUUUUAGAUGUAAGCACAUGCAAUCCAGUAAUUACAAAAAUAAGCACGCAACAACCACAUUUAGAUGUAUAGGCAAGAUGCUCACAUGAAAUACGGUGCUUCCAUUGAACCACUUGACCAACAGACUAAUGGGUCGCUGAAUUAAGAAUGUUAGCGCAAGAACCCACAUCACCAAUUGGUUAAAUGCAUCAUUACGAGAGCAUGCAUGGUUUAAUUGUGUUGUUUUCAUUUUACAACUUAUUGUAGCAUAUGUAUUUCUUGCAUUAUUUUUUAAAAAAAGAAAACAUAUAUCUACAAUGUGAGCUAUGAGACCAAAACUAUUGCUAUUAGCUGAAGAAAAAGAAGAGGAUUAAUACUACUCCCUCCAUCUAUUUUUGAUAGUCAUAUUUUCAAAUCUGAAAAAUUUAUUUUUGAUAGGCAUAUUUCAAUCCAACAACCUAUCAUCUUAAUGACUUUCUCGGAUUUAAUGCAUGACUCUUCAUUUUUCCACACAUGAUUCGCUACAUGGAAAUUGAGAAAUGUAAAUAUUAAUGUAUCGCUUGUUUACGAGGAAUGACUAGUAGCAUGUUUGAAUGGAUGAUAAGUAGAAGUACUUAUCCUUGGUCUAUAUGUUAAGAUGAAAUAUGACUAUCGAUGAUGGAGAGAGUAUUGGGCUGCUCGCACGUUAAUGCUAGAAACAAGACCGGCCACAAAACCCCCCUUGGUCAACCCGAUAUUGACAGUGGUCAAGUACUUGUGCGAAGGUUGGUUAGAAUUAGAAUUCCAAACAAUGCGUGCUCACAUAUGUAAUUAUUGGGCUGCAUGUGUUUAGUUGAUAAAAAUAACAGGAAAGCUGAUACCAAAGUACCCACCGUAUCUUUUCAAUGUCAGUGGAAUCUUAGGGAGCACGCUCUAUAAGCUUCUCAAACAUGUGACCCUGUUUAGAUGGGACUAAAACUUUUAAGUCCCUAUCACAUCGGAUGUUUAAAAAUUAAUUAUAAAUAUUAAACGUAGACUAUUAAUAAAACCCAUCCAUAAUCUUGGACUAAUUCGCGUGAUGAAUCUAUUGAGCCUAAUUAAUCCAUGAUUAGCCUAUGUGAUGCUACAGUAAACAUUAUCUAAUUAUAGAUUAAUUAGGCUUAAAAAAAUGUUAAGCGAAUUAGGUUUCAUUUAUGUAAUUUGUUUCGUAAAUAGUCUAUAUUUAAUACUCUAAAUUAAUGUCUAAAUACAGGGACUAAAGUUAAGUCCUGUAUCCAAACAGCACAGGUACAUGCGAAUUACUGAUCCGCUUUGUGCAGUUGCUGUUGUUAUUUUGUUCUGAAAUGUGAUACAAAUGCAAGCUGCUACGGUGCUCGUGCUCCCUGAACUGGCUCCUCUGACUUUGGCAUCAAAAGUCCGGAAAGCAGUGUAAAACAGUGAAAGUUAUCCUAUAGAGGUAUUGUUCACAGUUUUAGCGUGUCACAUCGAAUAUAUGGACACACAUUUGAAGUAUUAAACGUAGUCUAAUAACAAAACAAAUUACAGAAUCUACUUAUAAACUGCGAGAUGAAUUUAUUAAGCCUAAUUAAUCCAUCAUUAGCAAAUAUUUACUGUAGCUCCACAUUGUCAAAUCAUGUAGCAAUUAAGCUUAAAAAGAUUUGUCUCGCAAAUUAGUCGCAAUAUGUGUAAUUAGUUAAUUUUUUUAGCUUAUAUUUUAUACUUCAUACAGGUGUUCAAACGUUCGAUAUGACAGGGUAGAAAAUUCUGAGGUGGAUUUAAACAGGACCUAUGAUCUUGUUCUGUGAAUGGCUAAACAUACCUCCAAAGCCCUUGUUUAGUUCUAAAUUUUUUCUUCAAACUUUUAACUUUUUCAUCACAUUAAAACUUUCUUACACACAUAAACUUUCAACUUUUCUAUCACAUCGUUCUAAUUUCAACCAAACUUCUAAUUUUAGCCUGAACUAAACACACCAAAAGUCAUGAGAACUGUAGCUAUGUGACUUUACACAUUUAAAGCGAGAGGAUCUCAUUCCCUCCCGCUCUCACUUGAGCUGCCCAGUGGACUGCUCUGCUUCGUUGGACUUGGAGUAGGCACUAGGCAGUAUGGCAAGGCCGUCUCCCGUUGAGGCAAGCGGUGGUCCGGUGAUGGGAGACAUCACCGGCGGCGGUGGAGAGCUUCGAGUCCAGAUAGCAGCCAACUCCGGCGGGCAAGGUGGCAAGGUCGUCGGCGCCGCGCCGGAGAAGUGUCUGAAUCGCUUCGUCCGCGUGGUGGCGCUGAUGGAGAGGACGGGCAACGCCCUCGGCACGCUGGCCUUCACCUGGGCUACCGUCAUCCUCCUCGGCGGCUACCCCACCGUGCUUGACUCGAAGCCGAAGAACAAUAGCGACUAUUGGUUCACGACAGUCAUCGUAUUCAUAGAAGCCGCAAGGUAUGCAACUACAUUAUGGCCUGGUUUAGUUCCUAAUUAUUUUUUUCCAGAAACGUCGCAUCGAAUCUUUGAACACACGCAUAAAACAUUAAAGGGAUCUCAACAUUAAAUAUAGAUAAAAAAAAAACUAAUUAUACAGUUUGCAUGGAUAUCGCGUGAUGAAUCUUUUGAGCCUAAUCAGCCCAUGAUUAGCCAUAAGUGCUAAAGUAACCCACAUGUGCUAAUGACGGCUUAAUUAGACUCAAAAGAUUCAUCUCGUGGUUUCCAGGCGAGUUAUGAAAUUAGUUUUUUCAUUCGUGUCUGAAACCCCUUCCGACAUCCGUUGAAACAUCUGAUAUCACCAGAAAAGCUAAUGCGUGCGAGCGCGCUAGCGGCGCGCGUUUCGGCCCAGAGGGCCCAGCGCCGGCGCGUGCGCGCGUCCUCUGACCUUUUUUUUCUUUUUUUUAAUAAUUUUUUCGUUUUUUUUCUUUCACACUUUUUUCUGAUUAUUUUUUUAAUAUUUUAGCAUAUUUUGAGUUUGAAAGUUUUUAAUUUUUGAGUUGAAAAUUUUCAAAUCUGAACUUGAAAAUUUUUAAAUCUCGACUUAAAAGUUUUCAAAUCUCGAUUUGAAAAUUUUCAAUUUUUUUCAAAUCUCGAUUUGAAAGUUUUCGAAUCUCGAUUUGAAAGUUUUCAAAUUUUUCAAAUCUGGACUCGAAAGUUUUCGAAUCUCAAUUCUCGAGUUGAAAGUUUUUAAAUCUCGAGUUGAAAGUUUUCAAAUCUGAGUUGAAAGUUUUCAAAUCUUAAGUUGAAAGUUUCAAAUCUGGAUUGAAAGUUUUCAAAUCUGAGUUGAAAGUUUUUAAAAUUUAAAACUUAAAUCGAAAGUUUUCAAAUCUAACUUAAAAAAAUUUAAUCUAUUAGUAAAAAAAUCUCCCAAAAAAAUCCUAACAAAAUCUCCCAAAAAAAUCUCCAGAAUCUUUCCUAAUUACUAUCAUUAGGAUUAAGUAUAUUAACUAAUAUAGGUAGUUAAGACUAAAGAGAAGGAGGGAUUGUUUGCCAGCUGCUUUCCUACCGUGCACGCGCGUGCUAGCCACCCCUAAUAUGACACCCAAAAAAUUUCUUUUCGUGAACUAAACACAACCUAUGUACAUGUGAUUUUGUUUAGUGUACGUCAAUACGUGUGAGGACAUAUUACGUGAAAACGAACUAAGAGUUAAUAAUUCGUGAAAAUAGUACCUAAGGUUUUAUAUAUUCAUAAAAAAGUUACUUGAGAUUGAUGUAUAUGAAAUACAUUUUACCAAAACUCAACUUUAUAUGGGAGUAAAAAAAGGAUAAAUUUCGGGUGAAUAGUGACAGGGUAUUAUUCAUUUGAAAUUUGUUAUUUUUGUUUCUAUCAAAUGAAGUUGAGUUUGGACAUGAGAUUUGGCAAGAUUCUACACCUAUCUUAAUUUUUUUCAUAAAUUUAAAAAACUUUUAGGUAUGAUUUUACGAAAUUUCAACACUCAAUUUUUACAUGAUAUUUCUUUAUGCGUGUUAUACUACUAGCAGUACAGCAGUACGGGAUAUGAACACUGUUUUUUUUCUUUUCUUUUUUUUUUUCGAGAGGACAUGCACGGGUAAAAAAAAAAUUCCCUUGAGAGAACGUCUCAUCUUUUCAAAUUCAAAUACAAUAUGCACAAGUUAAAAUGGAAAGGAUAAAUUUGACUGUAAAUAGUGUACUUAGGCCGAGUUUAGUUCUAAAUUUUUUCUUCAAACUUUCAACUUUUUCAUCACAUCAAAACUUUCCUACACACACAAACUUCCAACUUUUUCAUCACAUCGUUCCAAUUUCAACCAAACUUCCAAUUUUGACGUGAACUGAACACACCCUUCCAAUUUUGUAUUAUUUUUUACAACAAAUUGGCUAGUCUUGAAUUGGUUUGCUAGUAAAGUUGCUUCUUGACAUUUAAAACUAAGACAAAUAAUUCGGCAAGGUAGUUUUUUUCUUUCUACAAGCAAAACAAAUAACAAAUAUUUUUGUCAUCGCCAUUUUUUUUUGCUUGGUUGAGAUUGGCUACAAACUUACCGUUCAUAUUACCCCCUCGAUUUUUUACGUUGUAUACUCUGCAGUGCUGUGCAGGCUAGUAUUAUAUGGUUUUGGUUUCACCCUUUUCUUUAAUUACACCAUACUCGUGCUUUUCAGGAUGUUCAGCAGCGACAAAUCCGAUUAUCAGUUGUUCUUCCGAGCAAGAGGUGCUUUCAGAUUCCUUGGAAGCAGUGGACUGAUUGCAAUCGUAUUCUUUUGGGAUGCAUACGCAAUGCUGGGCAUGGUUGCUUCGAACUUGCCUGCCUGGGCACACAACUUACUUUCAAUCUUGUUAAUACUGGUACCACUUGCGAUUGGCCAGCUUCUAAGAGCAGCUCGAAGACCGACCAGUAAGUUUAACUGGCUGUGGCCUGCGAUCUGUCUGGUCGCAAUCCUAUUGCUAGCUUUUCCAGUACUUGUAUAUUACGACCCGCGAAUGCACAAAAUCAAUUUCAUAAACCGAUUGACCGUGUGGAUACCGUACAUAUUUCUCUCUGCGAUUGUGCUCCUAGUAACGAUCAGCAGGCUGCAGUACCCAAUUAUCACAAACCUAGUGCACGGUGCUCUGGGCAGCAAGCAUGCAUUUUGGAGUCGGUUUAUUCUAAUUUCAUGCAUCUUUGCUGCAAUAGUGAUGCUGGUUGUCAUGGUUGAUCCAGAGUGUCGAUUAAUUAUGAUCGCGAUCGCAAUCAUACUGUCAUUUGGCAACUUACAUAUCCCAGCAGCACUCAUGCGUGUCAACCUCGCGGGGAUGCGCCUUGCAAAACAUAACUACUUCGGUGUUGAUGACCGACAAAAUCUUGGUGAAUCUCUAACCAUAUUCUAUAGCAUGGUGCUUGGCCAAGGAAUACUUUACAUCGUUGCAGGCAUACUGGAGGUCUUCUCGUUCAUCCCUCGGAGAACCCUCGUCCGCCGUGGUGGAUUCACAGGCCAAUGGGGAGUUGAAUCUGUCAAUCUAUACUACACAUACGCCUUCGAGAAAAACAUGGAAGGAGGUGUAUUUGCUGCAAAGAGGAUCAGCCUCAGCAACUUUGCCAUGGAUUCUAUAAAUUCUGACUUGUCCAAGAAACAGCUGUAUGGGAUCUGGAUGAUGCACAUUUUUCUGCAGAGAGAUCCGACCAGGGCACAGCUACUGGAGAAACUGACCACUUCAACGCAGACCAUGGCUAGGUUAAUCAGUAUGCUGGGCUGGACUAGCAGAAAUGAUCAUACAACUAUCAGGUUAUAUGCCGCCAAGGUAACUGCCGAGCUUGCAAAGAGCCUCCGAGUUGUAACUGUCCCUGGGACGAUGUACCUUGUUUCUACACUCCUGGAUACUGACAGAAAACCAAAAAGAAGACACCCGCUUCUGGAUGAAGAUGAUGAUCGAGAUCCUUUAUUUGUUGAUACAGUAGAAAGUCAGGAGAAAAGUCUGGAUGCAGCUGGUGAUCAAGGGCAAAGACAAGGGUCAGCUGGGGACACUGAUAUCAUGCUGAAAACACCAACCCGAUCAACGCACAUGAACAACCCAAGAUCCACAUACAAAUGCUGGGAAUCCACAUACAAAUGCUGGGAGAGGAUAUCAGAGUACCAGUCAAUUCCCAAGGAGCGACCAUUAACAGACGAUGAUCUUCUCCCUGCACUAGGCAUGUCAAUUGUUUAUAGCCUUGCUGGUUGUGAUCAAAAUAACUGUGUGGAAAUCGACAAAGUAACUGACCUGAUCCCAAAAAUCAUUGGAUUCACAAGCUUCAGAAGCGCAACGUUAAAUUCCGAAGCACAACAGAAGGUUCUCAUAAAGUUAUCACUGCAGGCGCUGCAGAGGCUCACAAGCAUUGAAGGGGAAAUUGGCAUGACACUGCGGUACAAGAUAACAAAACAUCCCUUCUUACUGCGAAAUCUUGCAGAGAUCUUGAGAGACAGCAGCAGUAGCAAUCAAGAACUAAGGAGGCUCGUGGCAGGAAUCCUUAGAAAUCUUGCCAUUGACAGAGACACAAGGCAGGAGAUUGGACAAAUGCAAGUGCUCAUUACCAGGCUGAUCAAAGCAUUCCUCGAUUCCAACGGACCAUCUAGUUCAGAUGUUGAUUGCUUGCUGCCAAAGGUCGCUGGGCAAGCACUGGUAAUGCUGUCAUUAGAAAAUUCACAUAACUGCUUCGUUAUAUUGAAGGAACCAGAGUUUAUUAAUAAACUAAAAAAUAUGAUACUAAUCCAUGAUGAUAAAUACAUAUAUGUGGCAGCAAGCCUGUUGCGUAAUAUGUGCCUGCACGCUCAACCCGAGCUCACAGAAUUAGACCUAAAGGAACUAUCUCAGACCUUGCGAGAGGUGAGCUCUGCUAAUCCAUACCACAAGUGCAAUAUUAGAGGUGUAUAGUAUGUCAUAACAUCUGUGCAUUUGCUGUAUAUUAGUUUUUGCCAAGUUUUGUCAUUUUUUUUAGAAAAAGGGCAUUUAUUUACCAAUGAACUAUAUAAGUAUAACUAUAGUUUGUACAACUAUAUUUAUCAUGCUAGAUGACAUUGCUGCUUCCACUACAGGUGUUGGAAAGAAUAAUGGACGCUGAAGGGGCGGAACUAGAAAUCCUGAUUGGCCUUAGUUCACAGAUAUGCAAACUCAUUCCUGAAGAAUUUUCCCAACAGCUAGAGCAUGGACAGAUUAAGCGGAGAUUCAUUAAGAGGCUAGUGGACACACUGAAUGCAAACAUGAACCCAAGUUCUCAUUGCCCUGGGAUCCGGAGGGUGGUACUUGAGCAAUCCAUAUACAUGAUGGAGUACAAUUCUCACUAUGCCAAUUGUUUCAAUGAAUACCAGAUGAUGGACGCACUGUCAAUUGUAGAAUUGACGCCCUCAAGGGCUGAGAAUUACAUGGUUUUCUUGGGUGACACAGGUUUCAUGGAAUGUAACACACCUCUCUCUGCCCUAGCGGACAGGGCAAAAGAACUGAUGGGUCGUCAGUGGCUGCAAGGUAUCAACAGUGCCAAUUGAAAAAAAAUAUAAAAUGAUUUUGCAUAUAUACAGUCAGUAAGACCUUGCAUAUUGUUACUGCAGGGUAGACAAAGUGAUUCUGCAUUUACAGUCAGAAGACGACCCAUGUUGCUAGAAAGAAAAUAUAUUUACCUUUAAGAUGAGCUAAGGGUAUUGUAUCUGUACCUCAUUAAUCUUGCACUGUAAUCUGUGUGCUAUUGAUGAUUUAUCCAAUUAUCAUUUGUUGGAGUGGCCAUAUUGCAACUCCUAUCCCACGUUCUAGCGUG